Oryza sativa Japonica Group (Japanese rice) is the source of this 547-nucleotide non-coding RNA. Lineage: Eukaryota; Viridiplantae; Streptophyta; Magnoliopsida; Poales; Poaceae. The record is from RefSeq and is a predicted model, not a curated record.
CGCCGCCUGGUACUGCUGGCACGCCUCCGUCGACACCGUGAACCCCGGCGGCACCGACAGCCCGAUGCUCGCCAUCUCCGCCAAGUUCGCCCCCUUCCCUCCCAGCUGUCCUUCAUGGCCUUGUUGCCCUCGCUCUUGCCCUUGCCGAAGUGGAACACCCUCUGCACACGAGCACAUUGAGCCGGAGCCAUUAGUGACCGGUGCAAGUGCAGUGAGGCACUGAGGCUUUGUGCAAAGCGAAGCUGGUGAAGUGUGGUGCUCAUGGCGGAGAGGCCAAGCCCCCCUAUUUAUAGCACGGUGUGUGACGGUGUGACCCACCGGGAGACGUCAUCGCACGGGCGGCUCAUGCGGGGGGAGGAGGACCAGCCCGGCAAAAAAUUGGUUGGGUAGGUGGAUUUUUGUGUUAAAAAAAGGUCUAAUAAUGUAAUGUAAAAGUAGUAUAAAAAGUCUAAUACUGCAAUGUAAAGUACAGCAUGGAUAGCUUCUUCUGUGGAUGUGAACAAGAAAUUUGUUAGACGUGUGGUGAUUAAAAUGGGAGCUUUUUUGA